CCUACGGGCGGCAGCAGUGGGGAAUAUUGGACAAUGGGGGCAACCCUGAUCCAGCGACGCCGCGUGAGUGAAGAAGUAUUUCGGGAUGUAAAGCUCUAUCAGCAGGGAAGAAAGAAAUGACGGUACCUGACCAAGAAGCCCCGGCUAACUACGUGCCAGCAGCCGCGGUAUUACGUAGGGGGCAAGCGUUAUCCGGAUUUACUGGGUGUAAAGGGAGCGUAGACGGUUACGCAAGUCUGGAGUGAAAGGCGGGGGCCCAACCCCCGAACUGCUUUGGAAACUGUAUAGCUGGAGUGCAGGAGAGGUAAGUGGAAUUCGUAGUGUAGCGGUGAAAUGCGUAGAUAUUAGGAGGAACACCAGUGGCGAAGGCGGCUUACUGGACUGUAACUGACGUUGAGGCUCGAAAGCGUGGGGAGCAAACAGGAUUAGAUACCCCAGUAGUC
Molecule: ribosomal RNA, 443 nt
Filed under: uncultured bacterium
Lineage: Bacteria
Description: partial 16S ribosomal RNA
Rfam family: Bacterial small subunit ribosomal RNA
Source: RNAcentral